UAGAACGCUAGCGGCAGGCUUAACACAUGCAAGUCGAGGGGCAGCACGGGUAGCAAUACCUGGUGGCGACCGGCGCAAGGGUGCGUAACGCGUGAGCAACAUGCCCUAUACAGGGGGAUAAUCCAGGGAAACUUGGUCUAAUAUCCCAUAGCAUUUAGAGGAGGCAUCUUCACUAAAUUAAAGCUUCGGUGGUAUAGGAUUGGCUCGCGUGACAUUAGCUAGAUGGUGAGGUAACGGCCCACCAUGGCUAUGAUGUCUAGGGGUUCUGAGAGGAAGACCCCCCACACUGGGACUGAGACACGGCCCAGACUCCUACGGGAGGCAGCAGUGAGGAAUAUUGGACAAUGGAUGGAAAUCUGAUCCAGCCAUGCCGCGUGCAGGAAGACGGCCCUAUGGGUUGUAAACUGCUUUUAUAUGGGAGCAAUAAGGUUUACGAGUAGACCGAUGAGAGUACCAUAUGAAUAAGCAUCGGCUAACUCCGUG
This 483-nucleotide ribosomal RNA is filed under the name uncultured bacterium. RNAcentral's name for it is "bacterial SSU rRNA". It matches the Rfam family "Bacterial small subunit ribosomal RNA", at positions 31 to 507 of the family's 1533-position model. The record is from RNAcentral.